CAGCAGCCGCCACGGGAAUACAGAGGGUGCGAGCGUUAAUCGGAUUUACAGGGCGUAAAGCGUGCGUAGGCGGCUUUUUAAGUCGGAUGUGAAAUCCCCGAGCUCAACUUGGGAAUUGCAUUCGAUACUGGGAAGCUAGAGUAUGGGAGAGGAUGGUAGAAUUCCAGGUGUAGCGGUGAAAUGCGUAGAGAUCUGGAGGAAUACCGAUGGCGAAGGCAGCCAUCUGGCCUAAUACUGACGCUGAGGUACGAAAGCAUGGGGAGCAAACAGGAUUAGAGACCCCCGUAGUCCCUGUCUCUUAUAC
This 304-nucleotide ribosomal RNA is filed under the name uncultured bacterium. RNAcentral's name for it is "partial 16S ribosomal RNA". It matches the Rfam family "Bacterial small subunit ribosomal RNA", at positions 509 to 807 of the family's 1533-position model. The record is from RNAcentral.